Rattus norvegicus (Norway rat) is the source of this 1704-nucleotide non-coding RNA. The record is from RefSeq and is a predicted model, not a curated record. Lineage: Eukaryota; Metazoa; Chordata; Mammalia; Rodentia; Muridae.
CUGGGUGUACACGGUCGUGUGCACUGGACAUGCACAUGAGGAACAUGAUAACAGCACUGGAACAAAUGGGCAAAUGGCUCUGCCUGCCUGUGAAAUCUCCAGAGGUCAGCUUAUGACACUGGAACUUGUCGGGAUUCAGGCUGCAGCAUCUUCCCGGAAAAAGAUGGCUUCCUGCAUCCUCUAGCCCUCUUGGCAAAGAUCUCUCUUCCAGGAAGGGCCACUGGGGCAGGAAGAAAAAUACAGUUCUAUAGAAUUGCUUCUGUUGCUGAGUCUACCUGCUGGCCAUUGGUGCUUUGGCUUAUGACUCCUGUCCAGAAAGAAAGCAGCCCUGUGACAGAGGACAAGUGAGACGCCUGAGCCUUCCGUCGCCCGCCCGCCCUUUCCUCCCACGGCUUCUGUAAGAUUACGAGGGGGAGAGCAUGCCACUCUGCUUUUUCCAUCUUACGAAUGGGCAGCGCUUAGAUCCUGUAAGAGCUGUCCCUGUGCUGUGUGAGCUGAAGAGGCUAAAGGGGAGACAUCCACAACUGUGGCUCAUGGAGCUACGGGAGUCUAGGGUUGAGUGUUGCUGAGUUUCCCAUUAUGCUUCAGAAUUUUGAAAUACUUUACAGAACAAUUCAACUGAUUGUGUGUCUUAGUCUCUUUCCUGUUGCUGUGGUAAAAUACCCUGACAAAGGCACAUUAAGAGAGAGGGAGGUUAUUUGACUCUUAACUGGAGGAAGGUCACAGCAGCAGGACUGGGGAGAGCUAGUCACAUGACAUCCAGUAGGGGAGAGCAGCAGAGUGACACAUGGCUGCCAGUGCUGAGCUUCCUUACAGAUUUUAUGUAGUCCAGGAUCUCCUGCUGAGGUAGGGGUUCCAACUGUGGUUAAGAUGGGCCUUCCAGCAUCAGUUAGUUUAGUCAAUACAAGCCCUCACACAUCGUCUCACAAACUAACCUCAAUUCAGACAAUGACUCUAACCAUCGCCCUCACACAUCUAUUUUCUAAUUGACUAUCAUUGGAAGGGUUGGAGAAAACCAUGUGGAUAACUUCCCUCUGCAAGGCCACCUCCAUGUGCGGUGGCAGUGGAGGCCAAGAGAAGGUGACAGGCUGGAGAAACCAUGUGGUAGUUAAGAAUAGUUGCUGCUCUUGAAGAGGACUGGAGUUCACUUCCCAGCACCAGCAACGGUUGCCUGUGACUAGUUCCAAGGCAGCCAAUGCCCUUCCUAGACUCCCCCGGCACUCACGCUCAUGCAGGAUAAAAUAAAAUUUUAAAAAGGACCGAUGUCCAAAUCAUGUUACACUUGAUAACAGAAACAUGCCCAUCGCCUAUAGUAUCAGCAUUUGAUUAGUUAAAUGGUUUUAAUCGUUUCAGUCCUAAUAACAGAAUGAGAGAGAACCUCAGUGACGUGUCCACCAGGAACUGCUUCUUUCAUCCUGAUAUUCUAGACACAUAGUUUUGGUUUAUUGUUUUGUUUUGUUUAACAUAAUAGGGAAUUCUAGUCAGCUGAUCACUUGUCGUGAGGACCGGCACAGCAGAAUGGCGGUGUAGUUAUUGGCUGGAACUGGGAUCACUUAAGCAUCUGAUUCGCCAAGAGCCACCACAUCACAUGUAAUUCACUGACAGUGCCCCAGUCUGUGAUCCACCUUCAUUCAGUUCUUGCCCUUCUCUGCUUCCCAGUGUUCCACAGAACCUAGAAAUAAAAUAAAGAGCAUCUGUCCUCUC